RNAcentral lists this ribosomal RNA (1205 nucleotides) under human oral metagenome. Its description in RNAcentral is "bacterial LSU rRNA". It matches the Rfam family "Bacterial large subunit ribosomal RNA", at positions 1651 to 2864 of the family's 2925-position model. The record is from RNAcentral.
AAACCGACACAGGUGGUCAGGAUGAGAAAUCUAAGGCGGACAGGCUAACUCUCGUUAAGGAACUCUGCAAAAUAACCUCGUAACUUCGGGAGAAGAGGAGCCCUUGAGGGUCAGUAUCCACGCGAUACAAAGCGCUCGAGGGUCGCAGUGAAGAGGCUCAAGCAACUGUUUAACAAAAACACAGGUCUAUGCUAAGCUGGAAGGCGAUGUAUAUGGGCUGACACCUGCCCAGUGCUGGAAGGUUAAGAGGAGGAGUGAGAGCUCCGAAUUGAAGCCCCAGUGAACGGCGGCCGUAACUAUAACGGUCCUAAGGUAGCGAAAUUCCUUGUCGGGUAAGUUCCGACCUGCACGAAUGGUGUAAUGAUUUGAGCGCUGUCUUGACGGGAGGCCUGGUGAAAUUGUAUUACCGGUGAAGAUACCGGUUACCUACAGUAGGACGGAAAGACCCCAUGGAGCUUUACUGUAGCUUGGUAUUGGGUUUUGGCAUUGCAUGUAUAGGAUAGUUGGGAGACUGUGAUGAUAUGGCGCUAGCUGUAUCGGAGUCAUCGGUGGAAUACCAACCAUUCAAUGCUGAAAUUCUAAUCUGUGGUUUGUAGCCACGGAGACAGUGCUAGGUGGGCAGUUUGACUGGGGCGGUCGCCUCCGAAAGAGUAACGGAGGCGUUCAAAGGUUCUCUCAGGUUGGAUGGAAAUCAACCAUAGAGUGCAAUGGCAUAAGAGAGCUUGACUGCAAGACUGACGGGUCGAGCAGAUGCGAAAGCAGGACAUAGUGAUCCGGCGAUUCCGAAUGGAAGGGUCGUCGCUCAACGGAUAAAAGCUACCCUGGGGAUAACAGGCUGAUCCUACCCGAGAGUCCAUAUCGACGGUAGGGUUUGGCACCUCGAUGUCGGCUCAUCGCAUCCUGGGGCUGGAGAAGGUCCCAAGGGUUGGGCUGUUCGCCCAUUAAAGCGGUACGUGAGCUGGGUUCAGAACGUCGUGAGACAGUUCGGUCCCUAUCCACUGUAGGCGUUAGAAUAUUGAGAAGACCUGUCCUUAGUACGAGAGGACCGGGAUGGACAAACCUCUGAUGUACCAGUUGUCACGCCAGUGGCACAGCUGGGUAGUCACGUUUGGAAUAGAUAACCGCUGAAAGCAUCUAAGCGGGAAACUAACUUCAAGAUAAGUAUUCUUUAAGAUACCUUCGAGCCUAGGAGGUUGAUAGGUUGG